ACAGUCACCUUAUUCAUUGUUUGGCCAUAAAAAGAAUCUUUCUUUUUCAUUCAUCAACUAGGUUAAGUUGAUAAGCUCUUUCUCUUUCUCUUUCUUUCGUUUAAUGCCAUUGGUGGCCUUGAAUUUACAGUGACAACUGCGCCAAAAAGGACAGCACCAGAGAAAAGCAAAGCAAUGGCUGAAACUAGACAUCUGUACUGGUCAAUCCUCGUGCCUUCUGCUUCUUGUAAAUGAGCUUGGAUUUGUAGCCUAGAUUGCCACUGUUUAGUAGAACUCAGGGCAUGAAUGCACAGCUGAGACAAGUGGCAAGUGGGGUACUUGAAAAUUACUCUACUAAGACACAAGUUUGUCAAAUUGAUACAGCAAAUUGCAAAACUGUCACCAUGUUCAAAAAUGUGAUUAUGCACAUCUAUUUUGUGCAACAACUGACCUGUUAUUUAUUGUGAUUACUUCUUA
This is a long non-coding RNA of Hevea brasiliensis (rubber tree), 456 nucleotides long. RefSeq lists it as uncharacterized. The transcript has 2 exons. The record is from RefSeq and is a predicted model, not a curated record. Lineage: Eukaryota; Viridiplantae; Streptophyta; Magnoliopsida; Malpighiales; Euphorbiaceae.